UUGAAGGUGUGGAGACUAGAGUCCCUUCUAUAUCCACAGACAGGUACGGCACAGGCAGCGGCAGUGCAGCUUUUCCACUGUCCCACCAGUGUGCCUCAGUCCUAGCCUAGGAGGACCACGGUGAGGGUAAGAGAGCUGUUCAGUCUCCAUGCCCUUCGAUCUUUUAAUACU
Molecule: non-coding RNA, 171 nt
Organism: Equus caballus (horse)
Lineage: Eukaryota; Metazoa; Chordata; Mammalia; Perissodactyla; Equidae
Source: Rfam